UCUUCAUUCCGCGUGCUCCUUCACCGGUCAGAGAGGCGAGAGAGCAUGCGAAAUGAAGAGA
Pristionchus pacificus is the source of this 61-nucleotide non-coding RNA. The record is from Rfam. Lineage: Eukaryota; Metazoa; Nematoda; Chromadorea; Rhabditida; Neodiplogasteridae.